AUGACAGUCUUUUAGAAAAUAAAGUAGAGCAAGAGUUAAGUGAACAAGAAAAAUCGGAUGCGUGGGAUACAUACGAGAAGGAGUUGCAUUUAAAUUUUGAACAAAAGGGAAACAUGGAUAUGGAAAAGUUGGAAAAUAAUAUUUCGAUUACCGGAUUGUCAUCAUACUCAUCAAAUUUUCCUAAUUUUAGUAUGCAAACUCUGUUAAACUACAGCCUGGGGCCUUCAUUCAACUAUUCUCUAAAUCAAAACUAUUAUGAUGGCCUUAAAUAUUACCAAAAAUACUCACCCCAUCAAAUUGACUUAUAUUUAAAGGAUCAAAUACUUAAUUCAUCAUCCUAUGGAAAUCCAAUUUUUACGAAUACCCAAAGCUUACCUGAUAAUUCAAGCUCUUCAAUGAUAUCAAAUUUACGUACAAACAACCUGCAAAAUAUAAGUUCAUCGACAGGAGUCAGUGUUUCUUGCCCUGGCAAUUCACUUUCGACACUUGAACAUUACCAGCUCUUGUUGGGAAAUUCGCUUAACUAUCAACUAUCCAAUUCAACUAUUAACUAUCCAAAUCAAAGCGACGUAUCUAAAAAAGGGAUAUCACAAAAACAGAUUGAAAGUUCAUCUAUUGAAAAACACAAUAUUAAUAUUUGCGACGACUACUUUAAUCAAAACGUAGUCGCACAUCCUUAACCAAAUGUCAGUCAACCUAUAAAUUCCGUUGAUUGUCAUUCAUUUUCAGAUUCAAAACGGCCUAUUCAAAGUAAAGAAACUAAUGAAACUGCUCAAUUAACUAACAAGGCUAUAACAAAUAAAACUUGUAAACUAAAGGAAAACAAUACCUUAUCGGUUGAAAAUAAUAAUUCCCUUACUGAAAACAUAAGUACACAAAAAUAUUUUAGUACUAACAUUAUUUCAAAGGAAAGUCGUCUACCAGUGUCUAAUAGUACUCCUAAGCAGUUAUAUGGGACACCUAGUAUAUCUCUUAUUUCAAUCGAUACUAUUAAUCAUAAUAAUACAAAUAAUGUUCAAAUUGAAACUGAAUCGCGAAUCCCAGAAAAAAAUAUGCAUCUUAAAAGGAUGGUUAAGAAAUCUAUUGGUCCUAAAUUAACGUUUACAAAAUUAACUAAAAUACAGAAAGAUUCCCGUCAAUUUGAAUUUUUGACGUCGAUUUCUUCAGCUAUCUCUAAGAACGUAAAUCAAGAAACAUCUCAUUCAGAAUUGCACACUAUGGAAUGUCGCCAAAAUGUACCCUCAAAAGCCACUGUUAUAAAAAAGUCUUCGCUUACAGGAGGUUGGAAAAAAAAAUGACAAACCAAAUAUGAACGAAUUUAUUAAUUCAUUACUAAAGAAAAGUAGAGACUCAGAUCCAGUCAAAUAUUAUGAGGAAAAGGCAAUACAGAACAAAAGUAACCAACACUCAGAACAUGUUCAUCAAGGCUUUGACGAAUCGAAUGCCC
Drosophila kikkawai is the source of this 1447-nucleotide RNA transcript. It is a transcript of the gene named transcriptional regulator ATRX homolog, with no coding region annotated. NCBI's taxonomy places the organism in Eukaryota, Metazoa, Arthropoda, Insecta, Diptera, Drosophilidae. The record is from RefSeq and is a predicted model, not a curated record.